AUCCAGCUGACGAGUCCUAAAUAGGACGAAACUCGUGUCAAACUGGAU
This 48-nucleotide non-coding RNA is filed under the name Schistosoma mansoni. The record is from RNAcentral. Lineage: Eukaryota; Metazoa; Platyhelminthes; Trematoda; Strigeidida; Schistosomatidae.